This 465-nucleotide ribosomal RNA is filed under the name Vreelandella stevensii. Its description in RNAcentral is "partial 16S ribosomal RNA". It matches the Rfam family "Bacterial small subunit ribosomal RNA", at positions 338 to 795 of the family's 1533-position model. Lineage: Bacteria; Pseudomonadati; Pseudomonadota; Gammaproteobacteria; Oceanospirillales; Halomonadaceae. The record is from RNAcentral.
CCUACGGGGGGCUGCAGUGGGGAAUAUUGGACAAUGGGGGCAACCCUGAUCCAGCCAUGCCGCGUGUGUGAAGAAGGCCCUCGGGUUGUAAAGCACUUUCAGUGAGGAAGAACGCCUGGUGGUUAAUACCCAUCAGGAAAGACAUCACUCACAGAAGAAGCACCGGCUAACUCCGUGCCAGCAGCCGCGGUAAUACGGAGGGUGCGAGCGUUAAUCGGAAUUACUGGGCGUAAAGCGCGCGUAGGUGGCUUGAUAAGCCGGUUGUGAAAGCCCCGGGCUCAACCUGGGAACGGCAUCCGGAACUGUCAAGCUAGAGUGCAGGAGAGGAAGGUAGAAUUCCCGGUGUAGCGGUGAAAUGCGUAGAGAUAGGGAGGAAUACCAGUGGCGAAGGCGGCCUUCUGGACUGACACUGACACUGAGGUGCGAAAGCGUGGGUAGCAAACAGGAUUAGAUACCCCAGUAGUC